Molecule: ribosomal RNA, 520 nt
Filed under: uncultured bacterium
Lineage: Bacteria
Description: bacterial SSU rRNA
Rfam family: Bacterial small subunit ribosomal RNA
Source: RNAcentral
AGAGUUUGAUUAUCGCUCAGGAUGAACGCUGGCGGCGUGCUUAACACAUGCAAGUCGAACGAAGCACUGAAAGCGGAUUACUUCGGUUUGAAGCUUUCUUUGACUGAGUGGCGGACGGGUGAGUAACGCGUGGGUAACCUGCCUCAUACAGGGGGAUAACAGUUAGAAAUGACUGCUAAUACCGCAUAAGCGCACGGGACUGCAUGGUCUUGUGUGAAAAACUCCGGUGGUAUGAGAUGGACCCGCGUCUGAUUAGCUUGUUGGCGGGGUAACGGCCCACCAAGGCGACGAUCAGUAGCCGGCCUGAGAGGGUGAACGGCCACAUUGGGACUGAGACACGGCCCAAACUCCUACGGGAGGCAGCACCCCCCAAUAUUGCACAAUGGGGGAAACCCUGAUGCAGCGACGCCGCGUGAAGGAAGAAGUAUCUCGGUAUGUAAACUUCUAUCAGCAGGGAAGAAAAUGACGGUACCUGACUAAGAAGCCCCGGCUAACUACGUGCCACCAGCCGCGGUAAUAC